This 440-nucleotide ribosomal RNA is filed under the name uncultured bacterium. RNAcentral's name for it is "partial 16S ribosomal RNA". It matches the Rfam family "Bacterial small subunit ribosomal RNA", at positions 338 to 795 of the family's 1533-position model. The record is from RNAcentral.
CCUACGGGAGGCAGCAGUAGGGAAUAUUGCUCAAUGGGGGAAACCCUGAAGCAGCAACGCCGCGUGGAGGAUGAAGGUUUUCGGAUCGUAAACUCCUUUUGUUAGAGAAGAUAAUGACGGUAUCUAACGAAUAAGCACCGGCUAACUCCGUGCCAGCAGCCGCGGUAAUACGGAGGGUGCAAGCGUUACUCGGAAUCACUGGGCGUAAAGAGCGCGUAGGCGGGAUAGCAAGUCAGAUGUGAAAUCCUAUGGCUUAACCAUAGAACUGCAUUUGAAACUGUUAUUCUAGAGUAUGGGAGAGGUAGGUGGAAUUCUUGGUGUAGGGGUAAAAUCCGUAGAGAUCAAGAGGAAUACUCAUUGCGAAGGCGACCUGCUAGAACAUAACUGACGCUGAUGCUCGAAAGCGUGGGGAGCAAACAGGAUUAGAUACCCGUGUAGUC